AACGCUAGCUACAGGCUUAACACAUGCAAGUCGAGGGGCAGCACGGGAGUAGCAAUACAACUGGUGGCGACCGGCGCACGGGUGAGUAACGCGUAUGCAACCUACCUAUCAGAGGGGAAUAACCCGGCGAAAGUCGGACUAAUACCGCAUAAAACAGGGGCACCGCAUGGUGAUAUUUGUUAAAGAGAUUCGCUGAUAGAUGGGCAUGCGUUCCAUUAGGUAGUUGGUGAGGUAACGGCUCACCAAGCCGACGAUGGAUAGGGGAACUGAGAGGUUGGUCCCCCACACUGGUACUGAGACACGGACCAGACUCCUACGGGAGGCAGCAGUGAGGAAUAUUGGUCAAUGGGCGGGAGCCUGAACCAGCCAAGUCGCGUGAAGGAAGAAGGAUCUAUGGUUCGUAAACUUCUUUUGCAGGGGAAUAAAGUGCAGGACGUGUCCUGUUUUGUAUGUACCCUGAGAAUAAGGAUCGGCUAACUCCGUGCCAGCAGCCGCGGUAAUACGGAGGAUCCGAGCGUUAUCCGGAUUUAUUGGGUUUAAAGGGUGCGUAGGUGGUUUGAUAAGUCAGCGGUGAAAGUUUGCAGCUUAACUGUAAAAAUGCCGUUGAAACUGUCGGACUUGAGUGCAAAUGAGGUAGGCGGAAUGCGUGGUGUAGCGGUGAAAUGCAUAGAUAUCACGAAGAACUCCGAUUG
RNAcentral lists this ribosomal RNA (692 nucleotides) under uncultured bacterium. RNAcentral describes it as "bacterial SSU rRNA". It matches the Rfam family "Bacterial small subunit ribosomal RNA", at positions 32 to 715 of the family's 1533-position model. The record is from RNAcentral.